UGUAGGUUUGAUUAGUAACCUAUAAUGAGUCUACUAUGGUAAAAGAAUGACUAUACUGGCCAUUGGCG
RNAcentral lists this transfer RNA (68 nucleotides) under Pinus morrisonicola. RNAcentral's name for it is "tRNA-His". The record is from RNAcentral. Lineage: Eukaryota; Viridiplantae; Streptophyta; Pinopsida; Pinales; Pinaceae.